UACCUUAAAAAAGCAAUUAAAAGAAUAUCAACAGCGGUUUGAAAAACGGUAAGCCCUAAAUACGAAGCAUUGUUGGUUUCUCCCCAAGCAAUUGGUGCAGUCUCCGUUUAUUCUCAGCAGCUUUUCAGCAUCUCCAGUCGAGUUGUUGGUUUCCCCAGUUGAGUUCGUAAUUGCCUCCCUCGAGUUGUAGGUGCGUUAUUGCAGCAGGUUGCAUAGAUUCAACAAAUUUU
This 230-nucleotide long non-coding RNA is filed under the name Lathyrus oleraceus (garden pea). RNAcentral describes it as "Pisum sativum (pea) long non-coding RNA (PSAT_LNC003586)". The record is from RNAcentral. Lineage: Eukaryota; Viridiplantae; Streptophyta; Magnoliopsida; Fabales; Fabaceae.